UUCCGGUGGAUUAGUGGUUAAAGCGUCCGCUUUGGAUGCGGUAGGUGGCGGGUUAGAAUCCCGGCCCAGUCAU
Molecule: non-coding RNA, 73 nt
Organism: Potamilus streckersoni
Lineage: Eukaryota; Metazoa; Mollusca; Bivalvia; Unionida; Unionidae
Source: the annotation of a GenBank genome assembly